CCUACGGGCGGCAGCAGUGAGGAAUAUUGGUCAAUGGCCGGAAGGCUGAACCAGCCAAGCCGCGUGAAGGACGAAGGUGCCAAGCAUUGUAAACUUCUUUUGUCAGGGGACAAAAGAAGGCACGAGAGAAUGACCGAGGGUACUUGAAGAAAAAGCAUCGGCUAACUCCGUGCCAGCAGCCGCGGUAAUACGGAGGAUGCGAGCGUUAUCCGGAUUUAUUGGGUUUAAAGGGUGCGUAGGCGGACUGUUAAGUCAGCGGUAAAAGCACGGGGCUCAACCUAGACGAGCCGUUGAAAAUGGGUGUCUUGAGAUGUCGAGAGGUAUGCGGAAUGCGCAGUGUAGCGGUGAAAUGCUUAGAUAUCGCGCAGAACUCCGAUUGCGAAGGCAGCAUAC
This 393-nucleotide ribosomal RNA is filed under the name uncultured bacterium. RNAcentral's name for it is "partial 16S ribosomal RNA". It matches the Rfam family "Bacterial small subunit ribosomal RNA", at positions 338 to 729 of the family's 1533-position model. The record is from RNAcentral.